ACAAGGUUUGGUUCUGGCCUUAAAGUUGGUUUUUUCAUAAAAAAAUACAUGACACUACAAGGAAUUAGUGAGAUCGCUUAUUUAAUAGGCGUUAAAAACGUCUUUAUUUGCUUAAAGUAUUAUUUAUAAAAACAAGAUACUUUGAUUAUUCCACUUCCAUCAGUAUCAAAGAUUAAAAACAAAGGAAACUUAGGUUUAGUUAUUGAAUAAAGGGUUGGUAAAUUAUGGUGCCAGCAACCGCGGUUAAACCAUUAACCCAAAUCAACUAACAACAGCAAAAAAGACGGUUAGAUAUUUUCAUUAAACAAAGAAUAGUAAUUUAAAUUAAUAAAGUAUAAUUUUUUAAAAAAAAAAUCCGUAAUAUUCUUUAUUAUUGACGCCGUAACAUCUUUUACAAAAACUAGGAUUAGAUACCCUACUAUUUAAAGAAAUAAAUAUUAAUUUAAUUUUGCUUGGGUAUUACGAACACAUGUUUAAAACCUAAAGGACUUGGCGGUACUUUAACCCACUUAGGGGAACCUGUCCUUUAAUUCGAUAAUCCACGACAAUCUUAUUUACUUUAGAACAUUUCAGCUUGUAUACCGUCGCCAUAAGUUAACCUUAAAAAGAAAAAAAGUUAACAAUAAAGAUUAAAUUAUUUUGAUAAAUUUUCUCAUAGGCCAGAUCAAGGUGCAGCCAAUAAGUAAAGAAGAGAUGGGUUACAAUUAAUAAAUUCUAAUGGAAUCUUAAAAGAAAAAUAAAGAACAAAAUAGGACUUAAAAGUAAUUUGUAAAAAUCACUACAAAUGAAUAAGGAAAUAAAGUGUGUACAUAUCGCCCGUCGCUCUCAUUGAAAAACGAGAUAAGUCGUAACAUAGUAGAUGUAGCGGAAGCUGCCUCUAACAUAAA
RNAcentral lists this non-coding RNA (887 nucleotides) under Cellana toreuma. Lineage: Eukaryota; Metazoa; Mollusca; Gastropoda; Nacellidae. The record is from RNAcentral.